RNAcentral lists this ribosomal RNA (493 nucleotides) under uncultured bacterium. Its description in RNAcentral is "bacterial SSU rRNA". It matches the Rfam family "Bacterial small subunit ribosomal RNA", at positions 903 to 1397 of the family's 1533-position model. The record is from RNAcentral.
AAAUGAAUUGACGGGGGCCCGCACAAGCGGCGGAGCAUGCGGAUUAAUUCGAUGCAACGCGAAGAACCUUACCAAGGCUUGACAUACACCGGAAGCAUGCAGAGAUGUGUGUGCCCUUGUGGCUGGUGUACAGGUGGUGCAUGGUUGUCGUCAGCUCGUGUCGUGAGAUGUUGGGUUAAGUCCCGCAACGAGCGCAACCCUUGUCUCGUGUUGCCAGCAAUUCGGUUGGGGACUCACGAGAGACUGCCGGGGUUAACUCGGAGGAAGGUGGGGAUGACGUCAAAUCAUCAUGCCCCUUAUGUCUUGGGCUUCACGCAUGCUACAAUGGCCGGUACAGAGUGUUGCGAUACUGUGAGGUGGAGCGAAUCACUUAAAGCCGGUCUCAGUUCGGAUUGGGGUCUGCAACUCGGCCCCAUGAAGUCGGAGUCGCUAGUAAUCGCAGAUCAGCAACGCUGCGGUGAAUACGUUCUCGGGCCUUGUACACACCGCCCGU